UGCGGGGCUGGUGCUCUAUCCACUGUGGCACUUCACUGCCCCUGGACUCCGCAUUGUUAAGUGACCCACUGGCCUUCCCUGUGGCCAGCUGGGCCUCAUCACAGUGCAAGAGGAAUUCCCCUCCCUACCAAAGGGCCAGGCCUGCUUUUUUAGACUGCCCUUUUUGGACUGGGGGCACAUCUGGACGGAGUUCAAGGGAGACUCCUUGGGAGGGAGAGCUGAUAGCUGGUCCUUUACUCCUUGGGCAGCCAGUGCCUCUGCAGUGGGGGGGGGGGUCCCUGACCACAGGUGUGGCCACACCUCUACAUCCCAGGGGGAAGUGGAGUGGCUUAGGCAGUUAGCCAGUCUGCCUCCUUUUCCUUAAUAUUUACCUGCCCAGGACUGGUGUGAGGUUGAAAUAAGGUAACAUACUUUUAGGAUAGUGCUGAGCACACACUAGGCAUUUUACUAAAUCCUCCUCUGCUGACUUUGCUCUUGUUCCCUUUCUACCUCCUGGCUGCCCAGCCUUGGCGGCGGCAGCGUCCAAACUGACCUGUGGGCAGGAAUUGGCUGUUUUUAACUUUUAACUUGUGGGACAGUUGGCUGUCUGCAUUGGCAUUUCCUUGGCAGGUGUUCCUAGGAGGGAGUCUGACCAAGGAGGGGCCUUUCAGCUCCCAUCACUAUGAUGCUGAGUUGAUUCACCUCUCUCACUCCAUUGAGAUCUCUUCAAUCAGUUAGCAAGUGGGUGUUUACCCUCUCCAGGCUGCAAUUCUGACUCUCACCUACACAGGACCGCCUCCGCUAUGCCAUAGAAACUUCUUCCUUCUGGAAGCUCAGACCAGACAUCGGAAGUACCGUCCUUCCCUGGGGACUCCCUUUCUAAUUGGUUAGCUCCUCCCAGAACCUCCAAUUUAAGGAAGAGGUCCAGGAUGUCUUCUCUCUCCAGGCAGCAUUACUAUCACAGGACUCUUCCAUAGCCCCAAGCCACACAUCAUCUUCCCUUCCUUAUAUGAGUUGUCUCACGUUCCCCAACAUAACCCCCAAGUGUAAGCUUGUUGAGAGCGGGAUUGGCUUUCGACUUCUGUUUGUAUUCCCAGCGCUUUGCACCGUGCCUAGCACCACCGUAAGCACUUAAAUGCUUGUUGAGGGAUCAUCCUUAGAGUAGCCUUGAAUACAAUGCCUCACUUUCCUCAUCUGGAAAAUAGGGACGAUACAGAACACCUGCUUGGAAGGAAUGAUGGAAAAGCCCCUCUUGGUACGUGAACUUCUGGUUGGAUUUAGGAGCACACGGAGAUCUUUCUAUGGACCUCUCCGGGCCAUGUGAUUUGGGGGGGGUGCCAAUUGGGGUUAAGUGAUUUGCCCAGGGUCACCCAGGUAGUAACAAGUGUUUGGUCUGAGGCCGGAUUUGAACUCAAGUCCUCCUGACUUCAGGGCCGAUGUUCUAUCCACUUCGCCACCUAGCUGCCCCUGGGCCAUGUGAUUUCAAGGGGAGAAGGGAGUUCCCCUUUUGUGCUUGUAUGUCCAUUCCUAGCCCGUGCCCUUCGCCAAAUAAAUGCUUAUUGCACCAUAGCCUCAGA
Molecule: long non-coding RNA, 1556 nt
Organism: Vombatus ursinus (common wombat)
Lineage: Eukaryota; Metazoa; Chordata; Mammalia; Diprotodontia; Vombatidae
Exons: 2
Source: RefSeq, a predicted model, not a curated record